This 70-nucleotide transfer RNA is filed under the name Ameiurus melas (black bullhead). It matches the Rfam family "tRNA". From Rfam's summary of the family: Transfer RNA (tRNA) molecules are approximately 80 nucleotides in length. Lineage: Eukaryota; Metazoa; Chordata; Actinopteri; Siluriformes; Ictaluridae. The record is from Rfam by way of RNAcentral.
UCCCAUUUGGUCUAGCGGUUAGGAUUCCUGGUUUUCACCCAGGUGGCCGGGUUCAACCUCGGUAUGGGAA